Long non-coding RNA from Etheostoma cragini (Arkansas darter), 722 nucleotides. RefSeq lists it as uncharacterized. Lineage: Eukaryota; Metazoa; Chordata; Actinopteri; Perciformes; Percidae. The transcript is spliced from 3 exons. The record is from RefSeq and is a predicted model, not a curated record.
GGUGCGAUGCUUAAACAGGCAGCCGAGGGGCCAGCCUUUCUCCUGACUGCCUAACAACAGCAUUUGGCAGGGAUGAUUGACGGGUUGUAACAACCAAUUGUUAAUCAUCAGAAAAAUUCAGUUAAAGCACAAAUGAAGAAUUAACUAAAGCGACGACACAUAAGCAGUCCCAUAGUCUUACACCUCCUAUUUUAAAUACUGAUAGACAACAUAUUUAUGACUUUUUUUGUUUUCCAAGCUGAAAAUUAAGUAUAAAAACUACACAAGACCAAGUUUCUGGAACAGGCUCCUCCCUGUAGGCCAGGAAGAAGAACAGGAGGGUUUAACUUUAGUCAGGGAAGGCUGGUGGCUGAUGAAUCCCAAAUAUGACUGGCCACCCUCACCAUUGUUAGAAUGGAAAGUCUUCACAAAAAUACCCCCAAAAUGAAAUAUUUCCAAUAGACAGGUAGUUAAUUUUCACUCUGAUAGCUACUGAUUACCAGCAUGUUUUACCCAAAAAUAUAUCAAGCUAGCCAACCUGACAUUUCUGGCAUUUCCAUGCACAGUACAAAAAGGUCCUGUCACGUGUGAUGUUUGUCUUUUUAAGAUGAACUGUUAAACCAACAGUUAAACAGUAAAAGGCAGACAUGUAUAUGGUGGAUAGCAUGGUAUAUCACAGGCACGUUUUUUCUUCAAACAUUAACAAGUUCUGGUUAUUGUAAAUUUGACCUUUAUACAUGCCU